GAAUGUGAGGGUGAUCUGGCUGGGACAUGUGUCAGCCCAGUGAUUGCCAAGAUUGACCAGGCUGAUCUGGCUGGUGAAGUGUGUGUCCCCUUCUUCCCUCACUCCUCCAUAUGAGUCCCUCCUGAAGCUGCUCCAUUCAAGAGGACAACCACCCCCAAUGGUCCACAGUCAAGGGUACACAAGUAGCUGCUUUCCCCUGCUAGAACCUCCAAACAAGCUCUCAAAAAUCCAGAACUGAGCUUUUGUACUUUGAGGCUAGGUCAAAGGAGAUAAUUACAUUGUGAUAAUUUUACCCUGGGUU
RNAcentral lists this small nuclear RNA (301 nucleotides) under Chinchilla lanigera (long-tailed chinchilla). RNAcentral describes it as "7SK RNA (ENSCLAG00000021680.1)". It matches the Rfam family "7SK RNA". Rfam says of the family: 7SK was discovered as an abundant small nuclear RNA in the mid-70s but a possible function has only recently been suggested. Lineage: Eukaryota; Metazoa; Chordata; Mammalia; Rodentia; Chinchillidae. The record is from Rfam by way of RNAcentral.